AUUUUUGUUUAUGUGUCAUUGUCACGUAUUGGUUACUUAACUGCUUUUUCCUAUUUUCAAACCAUUGUCGCUUCGGUUUAGGGUUAGAUUUGGUGUUUGCGUUAGGAUGUCACUUUAAGUAUUGGUUUAUACUAUUUUUUUUCCGGGAUUUUUUAUAUUUUCUGAUUUUUAGACCAUUAUCGCCUGGCGUUAGGGUUAGAGUUGGGUGUGGAUCUCAUUUUAUGUAAAUCUAUCCUUAAACCGAAGCGACAAUGGUAAGAAAAUAGGACAAAACAGUUGAUUAGCCAAUACGUGACAAUGACACAUAAACAGACAUUUGUGAUACGAUCACGAAAAAUGCGGAAAUUCGUGACAGUAUCACGAAAAAUAAAUAAAAAUUACGCGACUAUAGGUACGUAAUUUUGUGAGACUGGGCUGUGUCAGUCAGUUGAAACUUGAAUUAUUAAGAUUCUUCAUAAACACCAGUCACACACAUGUUUUAUGUAUAAUUUAGUAUGUAAUUGAAAAAUUCAAUAGUAGGUAAUUGAACUGUACAUAACAAUCAAGUUUGACUUUUUAGGCACUGACCGAAUUGCCUCGAUACCAUCGAGUAGAAGAAUUCGAUACCUAAAGUGUAUUCGAUUGUAUGCGACAGCACAAGAUCGGACCAGCAAAUGACAUCAAAGUACUUUGAUGCGUGCGACUGCGUGCGAUGCAAUAUUUGCAACAAGAUUAAUGCUGUCAAGGCGGGAAAACUACACAGCAUAAACUGAAAGAGCAGAAAGUUGCUCCGUCUUCAAAUGUAAGAAGACCGAGCCGGGGCAGUCAUCUUUUCAGUGUUGUGCUCACACGAAUCCUCCUUCACCCACCACAUGAGCUCUUCUCGAAAACUACCGAUGACGACAUAGGUGCUAUGACUGGCACUUCGACAGCCUCUGCACCUGCCGACACUUGCAUAAGGAGACCAUCAAAUGUCUCUCUGGCAAAAAAAGCAAAAAUGACAUCAUUGAUAUCAGUCAGGAGCGGGCUGAUCUGUCUCCUGAAAAAGCAGACAUUUAUUUAAAGAUCUUAAGCCUAUGUAGCAGGGAGCUGCACGUAGUGACUUUGCACUGAAAACUAUUUGAACUUUAAUAAAAAAAAAACUAUUUGCAGUGA
Non-coding RNA from Misgurnus anguillicaudatus (oriental weatherfish), 1134 nucleotides. NCBI's taxonomy places the organism in Eukaryota, Metazoa, Chordata, Actinopteri, Cypriniformes, Cobitidae. The record is from RefSeq and is a predicted model, not a curated record.